CUCUCUCAUAUUGCCUAUUCAAUUUGCUUUCAGGUGUUGAAGAGUGAAAUAAGCGUUUGUCAGCUUCAGAGGUAUGGCUAUUGUAUGUUCAGAGCACUAUCAAGUCUUCAUAAACAGGGUGUAAUCCACAGGGAUGUCAAACCUGGAAACUUCCUCUUCUCUCGUAAGGCCAGUAAAGGUUACCUGAUCGAUUUCAACCUGGCAAUGGACUUACAUCAGAAAUAUGGAAACACUGGUGAGU
Cannabis sativa is the source of this 241-nucleotide long non-coding RNA. RefSeq lists it as uncharacterized. The record is from RefSeq and is a predicted model, not a curated record. Lineage: Eukaryota; Viridiplantae; Streptophyta; Magnoliopsida; Rosales; Cannabaceae. The transcript has 3 exons.